This 516-nucleotide ribosomal RNA is filed under the name Allancastria caucasica. RNAcentral describes it as "partial 16S ribosomal RNA". The stretch from base 388 to 516 matches the Rfam family "Bacterial large subunit ribosomal RNA", at positions 2473 to 2600 of the family's 2925-position model. The record is from RNAcentral. Lineage: Eukaryota; Metazoa; Arthropoda; Insecta; Lepidoptera; Papilionidae.
GUCUUUUUGAAAAUAAUUUAAAGUCUAAUCUGCCCACUGAUUUUAAAUUAAAGGGCUGCAGUAUUUUGACUGUACAAAGGUAGCAUAAUCAAUAGUCUCUUAAUUGGUGACUUGUAUGAAAGAUUUGAUGAAAUAUAAACUGUCUCUAUUAAAUUUAUAAAAUUUAAUUUUUUAGUUAAAAAGCUAAAAUAUAUUUAAAAGACGAGAAGACCCUAUAGAGUUUUAUAAUUCAUUUAUUUUUAUUUUUGUUUAAAUAUUAAAAAUAAAAAUAAAUGAAUUAUUUUAUUGGGGUGAUAGAAAAAUUAAAUAAACUUUUUUUAAAAUUUUUACAUUAAUAUAUGAUUAUAUGAUCCGUAAAUUACGAUUAAAAGAUUAAAUUACCUUAGGGAUAACAGCGUAAUUUUUUUUUUUAGUUCAAAUAAGAAAAAGAGUUUGCGACCUCGAUGUUGGAUUAAGAUAAAAUUUAAAAUGCAAAAGUUUAAAAUUUUUGAUCUGUUCGAUCAUUAAAAUCUUACA